Neopsephotus bourkii (Bourke's parrot) is the source of this 3464-nucleotide RNA transcript. It is a transcript of the gene named PRELI domain containing 3A, with no coding region annotated. NCBI's taxonomy places the organism in Eukaryota, Metazoa, Chordata, Aves, Psittaciformes, Psittacidae. The transcript has 7 exons. The record is from RefSeq and is a predicted model, not a curated record.
CGGAGCUCCGCCCCCCGGUUGGUGCUCGCUGGCCGGUUGGCAGGCGCGGGGCUGUCAGGAGCUGCUGAGCGUGGAUCGCUGCCUCCUUGCUUCCCUCCGGCCGUGAGGAGAGACUGCGGCGGCCAUGAAGAUCUGGAGCUCGGAGCAUGUGUUCGGACACCCCUGGGAUACAGUGAUCAAAGCUGCUAUGAGAAAGUACCCCAACCCAAUGAAUCCAUGUGUGGUAGGAGUGGAUGUCCUUGACAGAACCCUUGAUAACCAGGGGAGGUUGCAUAGCCACCGUCUCCUCAGCACAGAGUGGGGAUUGCCAAGUAUUGUAAAAGCGAUUUUAGGAACAAGUAGAACUCUGACUUACAUUGAGGAACAUUCUGUGGUAGAUCCAGUGGAAAAAAAGAUGGAGCUUUGCUCAACUAAUAUUACUCUCACAAACUUAGUGUCUGUUGAUGAGAGACUGGUUUACACGCCGCAUCCUGAAAACCCUGAAAAAACUGUGCUAACUCAAGAAGCAAUUAUUACUGUUAAAGGCAUUAGUUUGAGCAGUUAUCUGGAAAGCUUAAUGGCGAACACGAUAUCUUCCAAUGCCAGAAAGGGUCGGGAUGCCCUGGAAUGGGUGAUCAGCAAACUAAACACAGAAUUGGAGGAGCUGAAGUCAACACGUGAGGGCAUGAAACCAGCCAUGGCAGCAGCGUCAACAGAAAAAUGAAACCAAAAAUUCCAGGGAAGUGACAGAAGAGUCUUAUUCUCCAGACUGCUUCAUAGAUCUCCCUGCUAAGGCUGAUCUGCACAAGUUUUAUAUAUUUAUAAGAAUUUUGGAUCAGCGGAAAAGUAACCUCAUCUGUCAUCUCCACAGCAGCUCCUGUUGCCUACUGAAGAUUAAAUUGACCUCCUGCAGAUGCUCUUUUUAUUUAAACCAUUUAUUUUUAACACUGGAAACAAAACAUUUAGCACAUUUGAAACUGCCUAAAUGUGCCUUUUCUAACAAAGAUCAAAAAAACUUAGAGCUUAAAGGCUGACAGCAGCUCCUUUCCAGAAGAUACACCGGAUAGCUUUGGUGCAGGUCAGUUGCUGACUGCUUCCCAGAGGAGCAAUGCCACUUCCUGGAUAAGGAAUGCAGAAGAUGUUCUAGCUCCUGGUGGCGUUCAGCUGGGAAGGGAGUGCAGCUAUGGCCGAGCUCUACAAAUGAAAGGAAAAAAUGAGUAAGUGUCUGUGCAUGUGGAAACCUGUACUGCAGCAUUUCCAUACAGGCCUGCUGGAGAUGAGGAAAACAUAACUGUCAGGGGGUAGAAAAGUCUUUGGACAGGUUCAUGUACUGCUUUGCUUUGCAGGAAGGAUUGUCUAAAGCUGCUUCUUGCGUCAGGUUUGAAAUAGUUACUUAUUUUUGUCUUAAACCUGAUUUGUGUAUAGCACCUACCAGAACUAGCUGGUGUCCCAGGAAAGCCACCACAGGCUCCUAUGUUCUCUUCAGGGCCAAACUCCUCUGCUGCACUUUGGGUCAAUAUUAAUUAUCCAUCAGUUUUCUGGAUUACAUCCUUUGCACUUUGUUUCCUUCUUCCAGAAACAAAUCCUUACCUGUUUGUGUUGCAGCAUCUCUAGUCUGUUUCAUUCCCCAGUGAUUUUGGGCUGCUUCCACCCUGCAUUUUGUGCUUCUUGUGAACUCUAUGGCUUAGUGCUUGGGUGUCCAUUUUGUCUGCAGCUCACUUGCUAUGGAUCACUACCUUGCCUGCUUGUGCUCAGUCCUUUUCUGCUUUUCUCUAGGCUAAAUGGGAGUGGGGAAACUUUGGGUAGGAAAAAGACUGAUUUCCUCCAGAAGCCAGUUCCAUCACCCAGCUGCCUCUGCAUUGCUGGGCAGUGCUGCUGCUCUCACCUUGUCUUUGGGCUAGGUGACACUGCUGCACCUCCCAUGGCUGCUCAUUUUUCCAGUGUGUACAAAGGACCAGUGCUCACACUUGGGACCAAGCAGGCUCCAGUGUUUAGCAGGUGAAUUGCUUUUUAAUUUCCUGUUAGCUUUCACGUACACUUUUACUCUCCUGCUUUCUGCACAUCCAGUUUGGAUAUGGGGCACCCACCCUUCUUCCUUGACCACGUGGCUCUUCUGUAUGGGAUCUGAUAGGAUCUGUACCUGUAUGUUCAGCCCUACUGUGCAUAACCCUGUUUCUGAAGCACUCCAGUUCUGUCACUGUUACAGUCUGAGUUGACCCUUGGUGCAAAAAAACCCUACCUUUGUAAUUGCUUCUCUUGGUCCAUCCCUAGGGAAACUCCCUGGCUUUAUUUACUGGAAGUGGCUAAAAAAUAUUUCUGAAGUCAGUUUUGUGUCAUGUGCAUUGAUGGAGGUGUCUACCAAAGCCAGAAAGCUGCAUGUGAGGGGAAGUGCUAGGCUGCCUGUGGGACUGGGGGAAGGACCAAGGAGAAGGAAGCUCAGCACAUGUAGCCAUGCUCAUUAACAGGUGGCAAGUGCCAUUCUGAGUAAGAAUUUUGCACUUGGCAGGGUGAAAACAGGAUUAAUGAUUUGUGUGUUGGGGAGGGAGGAUGUUUGCUGCUGUUCAAGGCACUGAGGUUUGCAGUUCAGUGUUUCUUAGCCAUUAGGUUGCAAUUCAAGGGAAAGGGAGUGGGGGUUUGGGUGUAAUGAGGUUGGUUGGUUUGAAGGAGUUAGUGCCAGCAUAUUGGGUCUGCAGCUUGGUGAGAAGUGGGGCUGCUCACCCUCCCCAGUAACUGCAGCUGUGUUAUACAUGCCCGCUGUGGAAGGAUGAAGCUGGAGAAAGAUGAAGUUGGAAGGAUGACUGCUGGGAAACAGUGAGGGAGCAUGGCAGCAGUGGUUCCCAGAGCAUGGCAAAUGGGCCUGUUUGUGAUCAGUUGGCCCUGAAGGAUCUUAAAGCUGUUGAAGACGCCAGACCUGAGGUAAACUCUGGUUUCUGGUUAAUGUCUGGUUUUCAUGUUAGUGCAGACAGGCUCAUGUUAGCAACAGAAAGCAUUAACCUAGACCAGUGUAAUCAGAUGCUCUUGUGUGUAAUGGGUUUUGUGUAGAUUAUCCAUUUUCUUAUUUUCCUGUCUUGUCCUUGUGCCAGUGUCAGUCCUCCAUGCUUCCCCACCCUGCUUUCUUUCCCUCCCCCCAUCAGGUCAGCAGGCAUGCUGAGGGAAAAGUUGUAUUUGUUAGGAAAAGGGGCAAUCCUAGCGAAGUUGCGGUAUUCUGUAAAGACGCUUAACACAAUGGAAGGCACUGAACUGCAGCACAUAAGGUGUACCAGGAGUUGCUGUAUCUGGUGAUGUAAUAAAGGAGUUCUGAGAUGACCAGUGGCAUUCUGUGAUGUGACACUUUUCAUUUACAUCCUCAGGUGGAGCAGUGGGUAACACCGUUCCUAUUCUUGUAUCUUCCUAGAUUGUAAGCUGUGAAGGGCAGGACUCUGUAAAGUGUCUGUGUACACUAUGGUGCUAUCUUAAAUAAAUGACAUCCUCCACUCAAAAAAACA